This 949-nucleotide ribosomal RNA is filed under the name uncultured bacterium. RNAcentral's name for it is "bacterial SSU rRNA". It matches the Rfam family "Bacterial small subunit ribosomal RNA", at positions 522 to 1478 of the family's 1533-position model. The record is from RNAcentral.
AAUACGGGGGAUGCAAGCGUUAUCCGGAAUCAUUGGGCGUAAAGCGCCUGUAGGUUGUUUAAUAAGUCUGUUGUUAAAGACUAGGGCUUAACCCUAGAAAAGCAAUGGAAACUACUAGACUAGAGUAUGGCAGGGGUAGAGGGAAUUUCUAGUGUAGCGGUGAAAUGCGUAGAUAUUAGAAAGAACACCGGUGGCGAAAGCGCUCUACUGGACCAUUACUGACACUCAGAGGCGAAAGCUAGGGUAGCAAAAGGGAUUAGAUACCCCUGUAGUCCUAGCCGUAAACGAUGGAUACUACAUGUUGUGCAUUACGUACAGUAUGGUAGCUAACGCGUUAAGUAUCCCGCCUGGGGAGUACGCUCGCAAGGGUGAAACUCAAAGGAAUUGACGGGGGCCCGCACAAGCGGUGGAGCAUGUGGUUUAAUUCGAUGCAACGCGAAGAACCUUACCAGGACUUGACAUACUACAAAUUCUUUUGAGAAAGAGAAGUGCCUUCGGGAAUGUAGAUACAGGUGGUGCAUGGCUGUCGUCAGCUCGUGUCGUGAGAUGUUGGGUUAAGUCCCGCAACGAGCGCAACCCUUAUUUUUAGUUACCAAUUCGUUGGGUUCUCUAGAAAGACUGCCGGUGACAAACCGGAGGAAGGUGAGGAUGACGUCAAGUCAGCAUGCCCCUUAUGUCCUGGGCUACACACGUGCUACAAUGGUUAAGACAAAGAGUCGCGAGCUCGUGUGAGUCAGCUAAUCUCAUAAACUUAGCCCAAGUUCAGAUUGUAGGCUGCAACUCGCCUACAUGAAGUUGGAAUCGCUAGUAAUCGCUGGUCAGCCAUACAGCGGUGAAUCCGUUCCCGGGCCUUGUACACACCGCCCGUCACACCAUGGGAGCUGGUCAUACCCAAUACCGUUAGCUUAACCGUUUGGAGAGCGACGUCUAAGGUAGGGCUAGUGACUGG